UGCAAGUUGCACGAGAGUUUUUAACUCUAGUAGCGGACGGGUGAGUAACACGUGAGAAUCUGCCCUUAGGAAGAGGAUAACAGCUGGAAACGGUUGCUAAUACUCUAUAUGCUGAAAAGUGAAAGAAUGUAUUUGCCUAAGGAGGAGCUCGCGUCUGAUUAGCUAGUUGGUAAGGUAAAGGCUUACCAAGGCGACGAUCAGUAGCUGGUUUGAGAGGACGAUCAGCCACACUGGGACUGAGACACGGCCCAGACUCCUACGGGAGGCAGCAGUGGGGAAUUUUCCGCAAUGGGCGAAAGCCUGACGGAGCAAUACCGCGUGAGGGAUGAAAGCCUUUGGGUUGUAAACCUCUUUUCUCAAGGAAGAAGUUCUGACGGUACUUGAGGAAUAAGCAUCGGCUAACUCUGUGCCAGCAGCCGCGGUAAUACAGAGGAUGCAAGCGUUAUCCGGAAUCACUGGGCAUAAAGCGUCUGUAGGUUGUUUAGUAAGUCUGCUGUUAAAUACUAGGGCUUAACCCUAGGCCAGCAGUGGAAACUGCUAGACUUGAGUGUGGUAGAGGUAGAGGGAAUUCCUGGUGUAGCGGUGAAAUGCGUAGAUAUUAGGAAGAACACCAAUGGCGAAAGCACUCUACUGGGCCAUAACUGACACUAAGAGACGACAGCUAGGGGAGCAAAUGGGAUUAGAUACCCCAGUAGUCCUA
Molecule: ribosomal RNA, 700 nt
Filed under: uncultured phototrophic eukaryote
Lineage: Eukaryota
Description: bacterial SSU rRNA
Rfam family: Bacterial small subunit ribosomal RNA
Source: RNAcentral